GACGAACUGUCCUAACGUUGUUCGGAAUCACUGGGCGUAAAGCGCACGUAGGCGGCUUGUUAAGUCAGGGGUGAAAUCCUGGAGCUCAACUCCAGAACUGCCUUUGAUACUGGCGAGCUUGAGUCCGGGAGAGGUGAGUGGAACUGCGAGUGUAGAGGUGAAAUUCGUAGAUAUUCGCAAGAACACCAGUGGCGAAGGCGGCUCACUGGCCCGGUACUGACGCUGAGGUGCGAAAGCGUGGGGAGCGAACAGG
This 253-nucleotide ribosomal RNA is filed under the name uncultured bacterium. RNAcentral's name for it is "partial 16S ribosomal RNA". It matches the Rfam family "Bacterial small subunit ribosomal RNA", at positions 524 to 776 of the family's 1533-position model. The record is from RNAcentral.